GCUGUUGGGGAUGCUGGCUGUGGCUGUUAUGGAGGACCAUUUCCAGAGAGGAGGAAAAGUCAGUCCAUUUUUCUUGUGCAUGGAGCAGAAUGUCAUGCAAGCAAGUGCACAUGCUGGUCUAGCCCAUGCUGGAAGCUUGAUCCAGGCAGGCACUCAACAGCUUUGCAUUCAAUGUGCCAAAAGCUUCUGAGAAUCUGGCUACUGAUUCUGGAAAACUGAAACCUGCCCAUGAGAUCUGGGAGUCCUGUUAUUGGAUACCUUACUGGCAUGGUCAUUUAAUGCCAGUCUUCAUUGUGGUUUCACUGGUGUGAGCAUAUUCUCACUAACAGCAAAACUGAGAGGUGUGUUUAAUUAAAGCUACAGUGCAGCCAAAAUAGCCUCAUGAGUGUGGUUGUGUUACGGCAGAGAUGGCUGAAAACUGGAUCUCAAUAGCUCUUAUCAGAAGACUAUCAAUUUCAGUUUCCUUAUCAUGAUCCAGCUUCAACUGCAGGGCAAAAAGCUGCUGCACUUUCAUAGAAAGUGUGCACUGGAUGCCUUGUCACAGACAAUAUCAAUUCCAGCACACACUUCCCCUACCCCCAAGUGAUUUCUAG
This 593-nucleotide long non-coding RNA is filed under the name Cyanistes caeruleus (blue tit). Its description in RNAcentral is "lncRNA (ENSCCEG00000011306.1)". The record is from RNAcentral. Lineage: Eukaryota; Metazoa; Chordata; Aves; Passeriformes; Paridae.